Molecule: ribosomal RNA, 499 nt
Filed under: uncultured bacterium
Lineage: Bacteria
Description: bacterial SSU rRNA
Rfam family: Bacterial small subunit ribosomal RNA
Source: RNAcentral
GAUCAUGGCUCAGGAUGAACGCUAGCUACAGGCUUAACACAUGCAAGUCGAGGGGCAGCGCAGUGUAGCAAUACAUGGGCGGCGACCGGCGCACGGGUGCGUAACGCGUAUCCAACCUUCCCGUUACUCAGGGAUAGCCUUCCGAAAGGGAGAUUAAUACCUGAUGGUGUUCAAAUUCCGCAUGUUAUUUGAACUAAAGAUUUAUCGGUAUCGGAUGGGGAUGCGUGGCAUUAGAUAGUAGGCGGGGUAACGGCCCACCUAGUCUACGAUGUCUAGGGGUUCUGAGAGGAAGGUCCCCCACACUGGAACUGAGACACGGCCAGACUCCUACGGGAGGCAGCAGUGAGGAAUAUUGGUCAAUGGGCGGGAGCCUGAACCAGCCAAGUAGCGUGAAGGAAGACUGCCCCACGGGUUGUAAACUUCUUUUUGUUUGGGAAUAAAAGACGCUACGUGUAGCGUUGUGCAUGUACCUUACGAAUAAGCAUCGGCUAAUUCCGUG